This 372-nucleotide ribosomal RNA is filed under the name uncultured organism. Its description in RNAcentral is "bacterial SSU rRNA". It matches the Rfam family "Bacterial small subunit ribosomal RNA", at positions 526 to 896 of the family's 1533-position model. The record is from RNAcentral.
CAGAGGUCCCAAGCGUUGUUCGGAUUCACUGGGCGUAAAGGGUGCGUAGGUGGUGAGGUAAGUCGGAUGUGAAAGCUCCGAGCUCAACUCGGAAAUGGCAUUGGAAACUACCUUGCUCGAGGGUUUGAGGGGGGACUGGAAUACUUGGUGUAGCAGUGAAAUGCGUAGAUAUCAAGUAGAACACCAGUGGCGAAGGCGAGUCCCUGGAAAACUCCUGACACUGAGGCACGAAAGCUAGGGGAGCAAACAGGAUUAGAUACCCUGGUAGUCCUAGCCGUAAACGGUGCGUAUUUGCUGUAAAAGGAAUCGACCCCUUUUGUGGCGUAGCCAACGCGUUAAAUACGCCGCCUGGGAAGUACGGUCGCAAGAUUA